GACCCAGUGGUCAUAUUCCUUACCUGGUUGAUUCCAGGGGGGCUCCUGUUGUACCUCAAAUUGGCGGAUCUACUUCAGCAAUACCACCCUCUUUCUCCCAACAAUCAUUCAUUUUAAACAUGGGAAGUGCACCUGUUCCCAACGGAGUUUGGCCAUCACGAAGUGGUCUGGAUCUCGACACUGGCUUAGUACUUGAUCGUGGGAAUAAAGACACCGGAGGUCUGAGGCAGCUUUUUGAUCAAGGACAAGCUAGAACGAUGGAUGAACAGUUCAGGAUCGGCAUGCAACCCUCAACCAGUUUGAGUAUCGGUGGGAAACGCAAAGAACCAGAUGGUGGCUGGGAAUCUUCCCCUUUCAAACAUCAUCCACCACCAUGGAAGUAAACUUUCGAUUUGUUAUCCCAGUCGUUAAAUCAUUUAUCGGCCAGUGUCUUGUAGCAGUAGGUAAAUUAAAGGUAGGAGGAGGGGGGGUCUUAUAUUGAUUUAAACUGGGAUGAAGCAUAAUAUAGUUGAAUAAAGACAUAAUUUCUGAAUGUAAU
This 538-nucleotide unclassified non-coding RNA is filed under the name Hevea brasiliensis (rubber tree). The record is from RNAcentral. Lineage: Eukaryota; Viridiplantae; Streptophyta; Magnoliopsida; Malpighiales; Euphorbiaceae.